This 375-nucleotide ribosomal RNA is filed under the name uncultured bacterium. RNAcentral describes it as "bacterial SSU rRNA". It matches the Rfam family "Bacterial small subunit ribosomal RNA", at positions 524 to 898 of the family's 1533-position model. The record is from RNAcentral.
UACGUAGGGGCCAAGCGUUAUCCGGAUUUACUGGGCAUAAAGCGCAUGCAGGUGGUAAUGUAAGUCAGAUGUAAAAGCCUCCGGCUCAACCGGAGUUCGCAUUUGAUACUGCGUUACUAGAGAUCGGUAGAGGGAAAUGGAACUCAUAGUGUAGCGGUGAAAUGCGUAGAUAUUAUGAGGAACACCAGUUGCGAAGGCGAUUUCCUGGACCGAAUCUGACACUAAGAUGCGAAAGCGUGGGGAGCAAACGGGAUUAGAUACCCCGGUAGUCCACGCUGUAAACGUUGUUCACUAGGUGUUAGAGGUAUCGACCCCUUUAGUGCCACAGAUAAUUCGUUAAGUGAACCGCCUGGGAAGUACGACCGCAAGGUUAAA